RNAcentral lists this transfer RNA (69 nucleotides) under Lophotus capellei (unicornfish). RNAcentral's name for it is "tRNA-Ile". It matches the Rfam family "tRNA". Rfam says of the family: Transfer RNA (tRNA) molecules are approximately 80 nucleotides in length. Their secondary structure includes four short double-helical elements and three loops (D, anti-codon, and T loops). The record is from RNAcentral. Lineage: Eukaryota; Metazoa; Chordata; Actinopteri; Lampriformes; Lophotidae.
GGAUUUGUGCCUGACUAUAGGGCUACUUUGAUAGAGUAGAACAUGAGGGUUAAAUUCCCUCCAACUCCU